AGCCUACAACCUCAUGAAGAUGCCGGAGAGUAGCGGCGUCCUCACCGUAGCCAGGGACACCAAAGAAGCCCUGACGGCUCUCGAGCUCGCCUUCAGGGCCGCCGCCGCGGCACGCCCGGCCGACGGAGCCCCAGAUACAAAGCACAAAAUAACCAGGACGCUAUGACAAUAUGUCGAUGGACUGGAUAUUCCAAUGUAUUUGUGACAUUCACAUGCAACACAGUUUAGUCAGAAAUUCAAUCAAUGCUACAAGAAGUAGGCCAAACAGCAUCAGAAAGACCUGAAAUUGUUGACCAAGUGUUCCACAUAAAGCUCAAGGAGUUCGUGAGAGACAUAAGAGAAAGGUAAUACUUUAGAAAAACACUCGCAAGUAAUACCCAACUACUUGAUCACACCUCUUACUAUAUCCCUAUAGAAAAAUAACUAACGGUUAUUUCAAAAUUGCAGUUAUAUACACAAUAAAGUUCCAAAAAAGGGAUCUCCCACAUGCCCACAUAGUCAUAUUCCUUGACAGAAAGGAAAAGAAACACAAGUACCCCGAACCAUCAGAGGUAGAUAGGAUAACAUGCACUGAAAUUCAAGACUAGUUGAUCCAUAAGGAUAUGUAGUGGUUGAGAACUACAUGUUGCAUGGACCAUGUGGCAUGGUCGACAACACAUGUAUAAGAAAGUUCCCUAAAAAAUAUGACAGUAAUACCACUGUAGGUGAAGAUGGAUAACCAGUAUAUAGAAAACGAUAAGAUCAAUAGGUGCCUCAAGUACACGUACAUAUCAGGCAAUGACGUGUGUUGAAGAAUAUUUCAGUUCAAAAUGCACUUUCAAGAUCCCUGCAUCGAAAGGUUGCGUUUCCACCUAGAGAAUGAGCAACAAAUCAUUUUAACUGAUUAUACAGAUUUAACAAAGAUCGUAAGGAAAGAAAGAGUGGGAAUAACAAAAUGUACAUAGUGGAUGGAGACAAACAAGAUCCCGUGAAGCAAGAGAAUUAACAUAUGCAGAGUUCCCGUUAAAAUGGGUAUGGAAGAAAAAAGAGAAAAAGUGGGGCAAAACAAAGAAAGGAAGAUACGCUGGAAUGAUAUAUAUGCUCAUACAACAAAUGGUGAAAAAUACUACAUGCGAAUGCUACUUAACGCCCGCAAAGGAUGCAUGUCUUUCAAAAGGAACCGUAAAUGGAGUUGUCCACACUUCAUACAAAUCUGCUUGCGAAGCACUAGGAUAUCAACGACAGAGUGGAUUGAGUGCAUAAAUGGGGCAUCAGACUGGGUGAUUGGCUACCAGCUAAGACAACUGUUCACAACUCUUAUGCCAUUGAAGUCACAAGCCCAAAAAUAUUGUGGGGGACAUGCUCAGAAGUUCUAAGCGAACACAUGGAGUAUAGGCAGAGAAGGCUCUUGAACUAUCCUACACUUUGACUAACAGAUACACAGAAGCAAGGAUACGCCUUGGUGAAAGUAGAUAAGCUCAUGAGACAAGCUGGAAAGACAUUUAAGGAAUACCCCGGAAUACAACAUUCGGAUUCUUCACAGAUAAAGUAACUUGGAAACAAACUACUCAAUGAAGAGAUAACAUCAUUCCAGGAUCUUUGGCAAUAUGAACUCUGAACAACUACAUGCGUUUGAUUCAGUAAUGGAAUCGAUGAACAAAAAUUUGGGAAAGAAUAUAUUUGUGGACGGCUAUGGCGGGAUCUGUAAGACAUACCUACGGAGGCAAUCACAGCAAAGUUGUGUUCCGAAGGAAAGAUAGUACUAGUAGUGGUGUCAUGUCAUAUUGUAGCGCUGCUUCUAUAGGGAGCACACUCGAGGUUCCACAUCCCCCUAUCCUUGCAGAAGAGUCAACAUGUUAAGGUUCCCACUUGACCUACUAAAAAAGACUUCACUUAUACUACGGGAUGAAGGUCUAAUGGCAAACAAGAUAUGCUUUGAGGCACUAGACAGAAGUAAAGGUAGUACUAUAUUGUCCUAAACAAGUGUUCACAAAUGGAUAGCUACACGUAGCAUUAUCAAGAUUCACAAGAAGAGAUGGACAAUGUGUAAUGGUAAAUGAUGAAGAUAGCAAAGAGGAUGAUGUGGUCAAGAACAUUGUCUAUACUGAACUAUUUUAAAGGUAUGGAAAAACAAAAACACUUUUAGUAUGAUUCUUAGAUAAGAAUAGGUACAUGAAAAAUUUGUACACUGCAAACUAUCUUCAAAAUACAAAUUAAUAGCAUACCAAUGCUAACAUGAUAUGGCAGGACAAAUAUGGUCCACUGCUCUGCGUAAGUACUGGAAACGUGCAUCAACAUUUGAAGGAAAUAGUUAAUCAAUACCAAACAUGUACACUAUAUUUUCUGAUAUUUGUGGCUUAAUAUAUAGUACAACACAAUAUAAAGAGCAUCUGUGCAUCAUUAUAAUUUGUAUGACAAUGCGGUCAGACCUAUUUUACUACUCUAUUAAUAUAAAUACAUUUUUGUCUUUGGGAAAUAUUAAACUAGAGUUACUCACAAUUACACUGAUUAAUACAUAUAUUUGUUCAAUAUGAAUUGGGGUAAGGUUUUUAUUAUUUAUAUGUGUUAAAUAUGAAUUGGAGUAAGGGGGGCUAAUACUGCCGAUUACGGUCCAAGCCUGGAAAGAAGUGGAAGGGGCAUAAGAAAAUAAACAUUUUCCACUAACAGGCAGUACCUUAAUCACAUUAUAUUGGUAUAUACAACCGUACAAACAUAAUAAAAGGUUAAUAAAAAAUCGCAAUCAGGAAAAGGAGAAAGGGGAACCUGUAGGACGAAGAAAGCUGCCGAUGUGGAGGAAGACGACGAUGUGUCUGGCUGCCUCGACUGGGAACGACGACGAUGCGUCUGGCUCGCGCGCUAGGGGAAGACAACGCUGCCGCCAUCCUCAUGCUGAAGAUGGAUUCAAGCUGGCAGCGGAAGACAAGAUCCAAGCCCACAUCACAUGCGAGUCGAGCUGGGAGGUGCCUCAGUCGAGGACGAGCAAGCUAAAGGGAGAGCAAACUGAUGGUAGCUGAGUUACCAGUCGGAUCUCAUUCGGUCGUAGGAAUUUUGGAAUGAGCGAGCGGAGAGAAGAAGGAAAGGAGAAAGGGGAUCGGGCAAGAGUACGAUUUUUUAUUUGUAGGGAAGCAACUGCAAUACGUUUCUUUUAGCGGUGCAAGAGCUACAUGCUCACAUGUGAAGGUACGGUCUGAGCAAGAGAGAAAAUGUGUGAG
Molecule: long non-coding RNA, 3191 nt
Filed under: Triticum aestivum (bread wheat)
Lineage: Eukaryota; Viridiplantae; Streptophyta; Magnoliopsida; Poales; Poaceae
Description: long non-coding RNA (TAES_LNC012060)
Source: RNAcentral